RNAcentral lists this ribosomal RNA (472 nucleotides) under uncultured bacterium. Its description in RNAcentral is "partial 16S ribosomal RNA". It matches the Rfam family "Bacterial small subunit ribosomal RNA", at positions 28 to 507 of the family's 1533-position model. The record is from RNAcentral.
GACGAACGCUGGCGGCGUGCUUAACACAUGCAAGUCGAGCGGAAAGGCCCUUCGGGGUACUCGAGCGGCGAACGGGUGAGUAACACGUGAGUAAUCUGCCCUCGGCUUUGGGAUAACUACCGGAAACGGUGGCUAAUACCGGAUACGACAACCGUCUGCAUGGGCUGGUUGUGGAAAGUUUUUUCGGCCAGGGAUGUGCUCGCGGCCUAUCAGCUUGUUGGUGGGGUAAUGGCCUACCAAGGCUUCGACGGGUAGCCGGCCUGAGAGGGUGACCGGCCACACUGGGACUGAGACACGGCCCAGACUCCUACGGGGGGCAGCAGUGGGGAAUAUUGGACAAUGGGCGGAAGCCUGAUCCAGCAACGCCGCGUGAGGGAUGACGGCCUUCGGGUUGUAAACCUCUUUCAGUACCGACGAAGCGCCGAUGAUGGUGGUGACGGUAGGUACAGAAGAAGCACCGGCCAACUACGUG